UUUUUAUACUCUAAUACUUUAAUAUGCAAUGAAUAAAAGGGCAGAAAAAUCAGAAUUACAAUAAAUGUUAGGCUAUUUCAGAACACCAGUUUUUCACACCUAUUUUCUUAGCAUACAGAAGCUCAAAAAUCAUACAUUAAGCAGUUUGAAUUGUCCUGAAGUUAUAUUCUGAAUGGGCUGUAACACUUAAGAACUGGUAAUAUUAAAAAGGCAAAAGCAUUAUAACUCAUAGACAGCACACAAGACUUCUUACUUCAUCUAUAAAACGUGAGAAUGUCAAUGUUUUAUUAGCUACAAGGAUAAGGAGGGAAACAUCAGUGAAAUAAAUGUGAUAACAAGAUUCACACUUCAUUAUAAGUGAUUUUCCUAAAUUCACAACUUUCACAUUUGGCUGCGUGAAAGAGAAAAAAAAAAAAAAACUAAACUAAAAGGGAACUUUCACUACUUGUAAGUAGGCCAACUCACAUGAUCCCUCCAAAUGAGAGUUUAAAUGAGAAUGAGUACACUUUUCUAGCUGGGAAAAUAUUUUACUUAAUUAAGUGAGUUUAAAUAAUUUACCCAUGGUGAUGAAUAAGCCCUUGGGCUAGGCUCAGAAACCUCCUCUACCAGCCUGUUUCAUAAGAAUUACACUGAUAUUUUUAUAGGACAUACAUGAAAUAUUUGUUUUUUGGUUGUAAUAGUAGAGACAAGAAUUUUGUAGUCCUCUACAUAAGAAUCCAUACUAUUUCUGUCUUUCAGGUCUUUCUCCUAAAUGCACCUUCUGAGUUUCUUAGAUACGCCGUACAAUUACAAAGACCAUUUUACUUAACGGAUUAAUGUGUUCAUCAACUUUAGCACCCUAUGUAUGUGGUAAGAGUAAUGAGAACAGGGCUAUUUAAACUGCUUCCUCAUAUCCUUCCCCUUAAUUACCAGUAGUGAAGUUUACUUAGAAAACAAUGAGGAAGUCUCAUAGCCUACAGGCACCUAGGGAUGGGGAAUUAAUUCAGAGUGAGAAAAUAUGGCUCUGGAGAGAUACUAAAGUCGUAUUGGAAAUGUAUGAAGUCUAAAAGAACUCUUUCUCCUCAGCUUCAGACUUAGAUAAGGUGUGAGGUGUCAGGAAUGUGCAUGGACCCUUCAAAAACUGACAUUUUCAUCUGUGUUCUUCUGCCUCCCUCCCCCACGAAACAAAAUAUAUGGAAAUACAAGUGCUUGGUACUACAUGCCUUUGAGGCUUAAAAGCCCAAUAAUAAGCACGCUGUAUCCGUUGUUGAGGGGGAUAACUUUUUAAGUAAACAUCACCAGAAGAAUCUCUUCAAAUGGAGAAUGAACUCACUCUCCCUCCCUAGAGGCUAUGCGGGAAAAGGGAGACAGAUAUUCCCCCUACUUGCACGUGGGAUCUCCCUUUCUCCUCCGACCUCGCUACGUCUCUCCCACGCAGGUCAGGCUGCCUUGGGAGGUAGCUGGGAGAAAAGGCAACGCUCAGUCCUCCAUGGCAAAGUCUUUGGUCUUCUCCUCCUGGUCUCCCACUUUGUAGCGCAGCAGCACGCGCAGGCGACGGGGGUUGUCCCGGGAGGGCAGCAGCGUGAUCUCUCCUGAAACAUCCGUGUCUUGCUCCACUUGCACUGGCUCGUUUAGGUAGAGAAGCGCCUGUUUCCAGUGCGUGGCGGGGUGAAAAGGCGAGGUGGACAGCACCAGGGGUUUCUCCGACUCCCCUCCAGGGAAGGUCACCUGGAACCAGAUGGCAAAGCCAUGCAUGGGCGCCGAGCCAUAGCAGCUGCAGCGGAAGCGCCCGCCCACUCCGGCCUCCAGCUCCUGCUCCAAGCCGGCGCGGGAGAGCUCUAGUUGCGCAAAGCGCUGUGGCCGGGCCAGCACGUCCUCGCCGGACAAUCCCUGCACAACGAUCUCCGACCCGUUGAACCUUACCACCUCCCGGGCCUGUUGCCAGAUGGCGCUGGCCUCUACCGCGUACACGCGCCGGGCCCCGGCCUGGGCACAGAAGAUACUCAGAAUGCCGGUGCCCGCGCCCACGUCAAGUACCGUCUUGCCUCGCAGUGCUGCCCAGUUCCGCAGGAUACCCAGGCGGUAGGCAUCGGUGCGGACGCGGUCUGCGAUCAUCUCCUCGUGGACCGAAACGUCCGAGUAGCACUCAUAGUACAGCUGGUCCCGCUCCCGCUUAGUCCUCCGGGGUCGCUCCAGGGCCGCCUCCCGCUCCGCGCCAUCUUCCUCUUCAGCUCCCUCCCCUCCUUCGCCGCCGCCCCCCGACUCAAGCUUUCUUUUCUUGGGCUGCGACAUCUUGGCCGCUCUGGCCG
This 2288-nucleotide long non-coding RNA is filed under the name Macaca fascicularis (crab-eating macaque). RNAcentral describes it as "lncRNA (ENSMFAG00000047657.1)". The record is from RNAcentral. Lineage: Eukaryota; Metazoa; Chordata; Mammalia; Primates; Cercopithecidae.